AUUGAACGCUGGCGGCAUGCUUUACACAUGCGAGUCGAACGGCAGCGCGGGCUUCGGCCUGGCGGCGAGCGGCGAACGGGUGAGUAAUACACCGGAACGUGCCCAGUAGUGGGGGAUAGCUCGGCGAAAGCCGGAUUAAUACCGCAUACGACCUGAGGGUGAAAGCGGGGGAUCUUCGGACCUCGCGCUAUUGGAGCGGCCGAUGGCAGAUUAGCUAGUUGGUGGGGUAAAGGCCUACCAAGGCGACGAUCUGUAGCUGGUCUGAGAGGACGACCAGCCACACUGGGACUCAGACACGGCCCAGACUCCUACGGGAGGCAGCAGUGGGGAAUUUUGGACAAUGGGCGAAAGCCUGAUCCAGCAAUGCCGCGUGUGUGAUGAAGGCCUUCGGGUUGUAAAGCACUUUUGGCGGGAACGAAAAGGACUGUGCCAAUACCACGGUUCGAUGACGGUACCCGCAGAAUAAGCACCGGCUAACUACGUG
Molecule: ribosomal RNA, 484 nt
Filed under: uncultured bacterium
Lineage: Bacteria
Description: partial 16S ribosomal RNA
Rfam family: Bacterial small subunit ribosomal RNA
Source: RNAcentral